Molecule: small RNA, 3697 nt
Filed under: Pan troglodytes (chimpanzee)
Lineage: Eukaryota; Metazoa; Chordata; Mammalia; Primates; Hominidae
Description: retained intron
Source: RNAcentral
UUUAAAAUAUUUAUUUAUUUACUUAAAGAUGGAGUCUAGCUCUGUCGCCCAGGCUGGAGUGCAGUGGCACGAUCUCGGCCCACUACAACCUCCGCCUCCCAGGUUCAAGCGAUUCUCCUGCCUCAGCCUCCCGAGUAGCUGGGAUUACAGGCACCCGCCACCACACCUGGCCAAUUUUUGUAUUUUUAGUAAAGAAGAGGUUUCACCAUGUUGGCUAGGAUGGUCUCGAUCUCCUGAUCUCGUGAUCCACCCACCUCAGCCUCCCAAAGUUCUGGGAUUACAGGCAUGAGCCACCAUGCCUGGCCAAUAUUUAUUAUUUUUAUUUUUUAGAGACAGAGUCUCACUGAGUUGCCCAGGCUGGAGUGCAGUGGUGCAGUCAUAGCUCACUGCAGCCUUGACCUCCUGGGCUCAAGCGGUCGCCCAACCUUAGCCUCUCAGAGUGCUGGGAUUACAGAUGUACUCCACUGUGCCUACUUUUUAAAAUUUCUGUAGAGAUCAGGUCUUGCUAAGUUUACCCUUUUAAAGUGAGCAGCUCAGUGGUUGUUAGGCCACCACCUCUAAUUCCAGAACAUUCUCAUCACCCCCAAAUGAAACGCUGUCCCCAUCAGCAGUCACUCUGCAUCCCCUUCCGAGCCCCGGUGCCCACACCUCCCCUCCCUGUCUCUGUGGAUGGGCCCAUCCUGGACAUUUCACAGAAACAGGAUCACACGCCGCGUGGCCUUCUGUGUCCGGCGUCUCUCACUGAGCGCGACGUCCUCAAGGUGCAUCCGUGCUGUGGCCUGUGUCCGAGCCUCGCCCCUUUUCUUGGCUGAAUAAUAUCCCACUGUGUGGACACAUUACUAAUCUAAUUCUAAACAGUUAAUUAGAAUAUUCCAUAGUUUUCAGAACCGUCUCCCACUGCUGGGCAUUCAGGGUAUGUCCAUUUUUACGGCUGUGGGAAGCAGUGCUGGGAGUGGAGUCUGUGUGGUCUCCUGGGGUUUCCAGCUCCCUGCCCCGGGUGGACCCCAGCGCCUCACUGACAGAGCCGGAAUCAGGCGAGGGUGAGGCUCAGCCGCCCCAUAGACAGGGGCUGGGUGUUGGCACUGUGGCUGUCUGAAGUGGCUUUUUGUUGACACAUGUGAUCUGACACGUCCCAGCCCCGGGAAUCGGUGGUCAGGAGCCCCCUCGGGAGGGGAGCACUUUUCCCCGAGUUAUCAGCCACGUGUGAGCUUGCGCCCCACGGGUCCCACAGAGGCUCUGGGAGCCUGUGCGUGUUUGCUCAUUGCUUCUCCGUGACAAGUUCCAGCCUCGUAGGUGCCUGGCCUGCAGUUGAAGGCGGGUGGGGAUGGGGCGAGGCCUCGUGGAGGGAGGGUGGACAGGGCGGGUCCUGGGCAGGUGCUCCUCACGGCGCCUCCCCCACAGCUGCGAGGAGGGAGGGUGGGCAGGCGGGUCCUCGGCACACUCCCCUCACAGUGCCUCCCCCACAGCUGCGCCAACGGAGGAGGCUACUACCACUACUCCUACUCGGUGGUGAGGGGCUGCGACCGCAUCGUGCCCGUGGACAUCUACAUCCCAGGUAGGGCCGGGACCGCACCGCCCACGAGGAAGCUGGAGACAGGGCCAGCGCCACACGGAGCCCGGCGGCCCCUGUGAGGGAGUCCCACACCCCCAGCAGACGGCGGGCUCCCCCAUCCUAUGGAUGGGCCGACUCGGAGCGCUGCCUCUUAGUGGAGUGUGUCCCCUGUGAGAAGUCGGCGAUGUAUUCAGGCAUCAGAGGGAUCAGAGGGAGCAGGGGAAGCUGAGUGGAAUUCCUGACACUCGCCUGGUUUACAGCAGUUUCAUAUGGUCCUACCUGGCACAAACCAAAGACCUGCAGUUAGAAAUACCAAGAGAGAAGGUUCCUGGGGGCCAAGGACACUGUCCCGCGCCCUCAGCCUUACAGAAGGGCACGCAGGACUCCCUGGGACCCGGGGUGGCCGGAUUUGGCAAAUGAAAACGUGGGAGGCUUAGUUUGACUGUGAGGUUAGGGUGAAUUUGACCAUCAGGAAAACUGUUAGUAGUAAUUGUUUAGUACGAGUAUAUCCCAACAAUAUUUGGGCUAUACUGACACUACAAAGAGCAUUGGCUGCAUACCUGAAAUUCACAUCGCACCGGGAACAUUCUUUAUAUCUGGUGAUCCCGUGGGACUCUUGCACCUCACGUGGUCCCACGAGGGCCACCCCCCCGGGCGUUCACCUUGACAGUGGUCCACGGUAGGCAGGCUUGGAGGUGGUGCUCAUGUGGGACAGGGGACAGAGUCCUGUCCUUGGCCACCCUGUGCUGCGUGCGGCAUUAGCUCAUGCGCAGAGAGCCCAGCCCUGUGUCCCGAGUCUGGGGGUUUGGGCAAGCGAGAGGCACAUCCUGGUGCCUCUCAAAAGUGGAGGAACAGGCUCUGACUUUGGAUUCCGCUUCCCUGGAAAGGGCGUUGAUUUGUUCAGCGUUCUGCACGGUUCAGGUCACCCCGGGGGCAGUGGAGAGGGCAGCCUGGGCCUCCCCGUGACUUGACAGCACAGAGAGGUCCAUCCCGGGGUCAGGAGCUCAGCCCAUGCCCCUGGCGUCUUCCCCUGCAGUGCAGACCAAUGGGGCAAGUUGCGAGUGUGGACUGUACUCCUCCCUCCUUGCAGACUGAGCUCCUCCCUCCCUGCGGACCAUGCUCCUCCCUCCCUGGGGACCGCGCCCCUCCCUCCCUGGGGACUGCGCUCCUCCCUCCCUGCAGACCGCGCUCCUCCCUCCCUGGGGACCGAGCCCCUCCCUCCCAGCGGACCGUGCUCCUCCCUCCCUGGGGACCUCGCUCCUCCCUCCCUCCCUGCGGACUGUGCUUCUCCCUCCCUUGGAGCAGCCUGGACUUGCCAGAGCUCUGCCAGGUGGGGCCUGGCCGCCCUUUCCCAGGCCCUGCAGUGGCCUUGUCCUUUCUCACCUGUUUCCACUCCCGCUGUCCCCGUUGGGCCCUGGGCUUCGUCCUCUUGCUCAAGCCCUUUGCUCUGAACCUGCGUGGCAGCCGGGACUGGGGGAUCCCCAGCAAAGAGCUCUGGCUUGAGGCUCAGAAAGAGGGUCAUCGGGUCCUAGUGGGAUGCCCGGGCUCUGGGCCACCUCCCCUCCCUCCGCCCAGCCUCCCUGCCUCCAUCUCCGUCCAGGGCAGCCCCGGGCCCUGCUCCCCACGUCUGCUGAGCGCUGGCCCCCAUGGAGUCCUGAGGGCUGGGGCCGGGGGCCGGGUUAGUGAGGUCAGCGUCUUGUCCGAGAGGUCCCUGUGACAGCCCGGGAUGAGCCACGGGUGGAGGGCAGUGGGGCCUUGCCCAGGGGAGGACCCCACUCUUCCUGCAGGGACCUCCCCUGCGCCGGCUCCCAGCCCCUGGCACUGCGCCCACCCAGGGCUGUCAGCCUCCACCUUCAGAGGCCGGCCCGGGAGACCCCUCCAAAGCCGAGCCGGCUGCGCUGUGCACGCGGUCACGCGGGCUCCGGCUGCGGGAAGCGAGACUGAGGCAAGGUCCCUGCAGGCUGCCCACCUACGGCCGAGGCCCUGCUCUAUGGCAUCCUGCAGCUGCAGAGGAAGAUCAAGCGGGAGCGGAGGCUGCAGAUCUGGUACCGCAGGUAGCGCCGCCGCCGGAGCCUGUCGCUGUCCUGUCCCCAGCCUGCUUGUGUCCCGUGAGGUUGUCAGUAAACCUGCCCUCGGGCUGCCGCC